AUUGAACGCUGGCGGCAUGCCUUACACAUGCAAGUCGAACGGCAGCACGGGAGCUUGCUCCUGGUGGCGAGUGGCGAACGGGUGAGUAAUGCAUCGGAACGUGCCCUGAAGUGGGGGAUAACGUAGCGAAAGUUACGCUAAUACCGCAUAUUCUGUGAGCAGGAAAGCAGGGGAUCUUCGGACCUUGCGCUUUUGGAGCGGCCGAUGUCGGAUUAGCUAGUUGGUGGGGUAAAGGCCCACCAAGGCGACGAUCCGUAGCGGGUCUGAGAGGAUGAUCCGCCACACUGGAACUGAGACACGGUCCAGACUCCUACGGGAGGCAGCAGUGGGGAAUUUUGGACAAUGGGCGCAAGCCUGAUCCAGCCAUUCCGCGUGCAGGAUGAAGGCCUCGGUUGUAACUAGCUUUGUACGGUAACGAAACGGACGAGCUCUAAUACAGUUUGCUAAUGACGGUACCGUAAGAAUAAGCA
Molecule: ribosomal RNA, 470 nt
Filed under: uncultured bacterium
Lineage: Bacteria
Description: bacterial SSU rRNA
Rfam family: Bacterial small subunit ribosomal RNA
Source: RNAcentral